Molecule: ribosomal RNA, 255 nt
Filed under: uncultured bacterium
Lineage: Bacteria
Description: partial 16S ribosomal RNA
Rfam family: Bacterial small subunit ribosomal RNA
Source: RNAcentral
UACGUAGGGCGCAAGCGUUGUCCGGAAUUAUUGGGCGUAAAGGGCGCGUAGGCGGCCAUGCGUGUCUUCCGUGAAAUCCCUCGGCUCAACCGAGGACGUGCGGAAGAAACUGCAAGGCUCGAGUCCGGAAGAGGGGGGGCGGAAUUCCCAGUGUAGCGGUGAAAUGCGUAGAUAUUGGGAGGAACACCAGUGGCGAAGGCGGUCCCCCUGGGCCGGAACUGACGCUGAGGCGCGAAAGCGUGGGUAGCAAACAGG